Molecule: ribosomal RNA, 497 nt
Filed under: uncultured bacterium
Lineage: Bacteria
Description: partial 16S ribosomal RNA
Rfam family: Bacterial small subunit ribosomal RNA
Source: RNAcentral
GAUGAACGCUGGCGGCGUGCCUAAUACAUGCAAGUCGAGCGAACAGACGAGGAGCUUGCUCCUCUGACGUUAGCGGCGGACGGGUGAGUAACACGUGGAUAACCUACCUAUAAGACUGGGAUAACUUCGGGAAACCGGAGCUAAUACCGGAUAAUAUAUUGAACCGCAUGGUUCAAUAGUGAAAGACGGUUUUGCUGUCACUUAUAGAUGGAUCCGCGUCGCAUUAGCUAGUUGGUAAGGUAACGGCUUACCAAGGCAACGAUGCGUAGCCGACCUGAGAGGGUGAUCGGCCACACUGGAACUGAGACACGGUCCAGACUCCUACGGGAGGCAGCAGUAGGGAAUCUUCCGCAAUGGGCGAAAGCCUGACGGAGCAACGCCGCGUGAGUGAUGAAGGUCUUCGGAUCGUAAAGCUCUGUUAUUAGGGAAGAACAAAUGUGUAAGUAACUAUGCACGUCUUGACGGUACCUAAUCAGAAAGCCACGGCUAACUACGUG